This 503-nucleotide ribosomal RNA is filed under the name uncultured bacterium. RNAcentral describes it as "partial 16S ribosomal RNA". It matches the Rfam family "Bacterial small subunit ribosomal RNA", at positions 355 to 871 of the family's 1533-position model. The record is from RNAcentral.
UGGGGAAUAUUGGACAAUGGGGGCAACCCUGAUCCAGCAAUGCCGCGUGUGUGAAGAAGGUCUUCGGAUUGUAAAGCACUUUCGACGGGGACGAUGAUGACGGUACCCGUAGAAGAAGCCCCGGCUAACUUCGUGCCAGCAGCCGCGGUAAUACGAAGGGGGCUAGCGUUGCUCGGAAUGACUGGGUGUAAAGGGCAUGUAGGCGGUUUACACAGUCAGAUGUGAAAUCCCCGGGCUUAACCUGGGAGCUGCAUUUGAUACGUGUAGACUAGAGUGUGAGAGAGGGUUGUGGAAUUCCCAGUGUAGAGGUGAAAUUCGUAGAUAUUGGGAAGAACACCGGUGGCGAAGGCGGCAACCUGGCUCAUGACUGACGCUGAGGCGCGAAAAGCGUGGGGAGCAAACAGGAUUAGAUACCCUGGUAGUCCACGCUGUAAACGAUGUGUGCUAGAUGUUGGGUAACUUUGUUAUUCAGUGUCGCAGUUAACGCGGUUUAAAGCACACCG